UACGGGAGGCAGCAGUGGGGAAUAUUGCACAAUGGGCGAAAGCCUGAUGCAGCUAUGCCGCGUGUAUGAAGAAGGCCUUAGGGUUGUAAAGUACUUUCAUCGGGGAGGAAAAAACAAAACUAAUAAUUUUAUUUCUUGACGUUACCCGAAAAAGAAGCACCGGCUAACUCCGUGCCAGCAGCCGCGGUAAUACGGAGGGUGCUAGCGUUAAUCAGAAUUACUGGGCGUAAAGAGCACGUAGGUGGUUUUUUUAAGUCAGAUGUGAAAUCCCUGGGCUUAACCUAGGAACUGCAUUUUGAAACUGAAAUACUAGAGUAUCGUAGAGGGAGGUAGAAUUCUAGGUGUAGCGGUGAAAUGCGUAGAUAUCUGGAGGAAUACCUGUGGCGAAAGCGGCCUCCUAAACGAAUACUGACACUGAGGUGCGAAAAGCGUGGGGAGCGAAAACAGGGAUUAGAUACC
Molecule: ribosomal RNA, 459 nt
Filed under: uncultured bacterium
Lineage: Bacteria
Description: bacterial SSU rRNA
Rfam family: Bacterial small subunit ribosomal RNA
Source: RNAcentral